Molecule: small nucleolar RNA, 212 nt
Organism: Vitis vinifera (wine grape)
Lineage: Eukaryota; Viridiplantae; Streptophyta; Magnoliopsida; Vitales; Vitaceae
Rfam family: Plant small nucleolar RNA U3
About the family: Small nucleolar RNAs (snoRNAs) are involved in the processing and modification of rRNA in the nucleolus. There are two main classes of snoRNAs: the box C/D class, and the box H/ACA class.
Source: Rfam
ACGACCUUACUUGAACAGGAUCUGUUCUAUAGGCUCGUACCUCUGUAUCCUUGAGUUCAAAGGAGACAGGAACUUCAGUCUGGUGGAUGAACUAAGACCGUUUGAUCAGAGCGUGAUUAGCAGUUAGAUGGUCCACGGAUCAUGCAACGGCAGAGGAUCGUUCCCAACAAGCUUUCCCUGGUUGGGAUGAUCAGGCGGUUGUCUGACAGACU